This 887-nucleotide ribosomal RNA is filed under the name uncultured bacterium. RNAcentral's name for it is "bacterial SSU rRNA". It matches the Rfam family "Bacterial small subunit ribosomal RNA", at positions 21 to 906 of the family's 1533-position model. The record is from RNAcentral.
GGCUCAGGAUGAACGCUAGCGGCAGGCUUUAUACAUGCAAGUCGUGGGGCAGCAGGAGUAGCAAUACUUGCUGGCGACCGGCAAACGGGUGCGUAACACGUACGCAACCUUCCUACAGGCGGGGAAUAGCCCAGAGAAAUUUGGAUUAAUACCCCAUAAGAUUUUGGAGUGGCAUCACUCUAUUAUUAAAGCUUCGGCACCUGAAGAUGGGCGUGCGGCUGAUUAGGUAGUUGGCGGGGUAACGGCCCACCAAGCCUUCGAUCAGUAGCUGAUGUGAGAGCAUGAUCAGCCACACGGGCACUGAGACACGGGCCCGACUCCUACGGGAGGCAGCAGUAAGGAAUAUUGGUCAAUGGACGCAAGUCUGAACCAGCCAUGCCGCGUGGAGGAUGAAGGUCCUCUGGAUUGUAAACUUCUUUUAUUUGGGACGAAAAAAGGGAAUUCUUUCUCACUUGACGGUACCAGAUGAAUAAGCACCGGCUAACUCCGUGCCAGCAGCCGCGGUAAUACGGAGGGUGCAAGCGUUAUCCGGAUUCACUGGGUUUAAAGGGUGCGUAGGCGGGUAUGUAAGUCAGCGGUGAAAUCCCCGAGCUUAACUUGGGAACUGCCGUUGAUACUAUAUAUCUUGAAUGUCGUGGAGGUUAGCGGAAUAUGUCAUGUAGCGGUGAAAUGCUUAGAUAUGACAUAGAACACCCAUUGCGAAGGCAGCUAACUACGCGAAUAUUGACGGUGAGGCACGAAAGCGUGGGGAUCAAACAGGAUUAGAUACCCUGGUAGUCCACGCCCUAAACGAUGAUUACUCGACAUGGGCGAUACACAGUCAGUGUCUGAGCGAAAGCAUUAAGUAAUCCACCUGGGAAGUACGAACCGCAGGGUGAAACUCAAAG